RNAcentral lists this ribosomal RNA (253 nucleotides) under uncultured bacterium. RNAcentral describes it as "partial 16S ribosomal RNA". It matches the Rfam family "Bacterial small subunit ribosomal RNA", at positions 524 to 776 of the family's 1533-position model. The record is from RNAcentral.
UACGUAGGGGGCAAGCGUUGUCCGGAUUUAUUGGGCGUAAAGAGCGUGUAGGCGGCCGUACAGGUCAGCUGUGAAAACUCGAGGCUCAACCUCGAGACGUCGGUUGAAACCGUACGGCUAGAGUCCGGAAGAGGAGAGUGGAAUUCCCAGUGUAGAGGUGAAAUUCGUAGAUAUUGGGAAGAACACCGGUGGCGAAGGCGGCGACCUGGUCCGAUACUGACGCUGAGGAGCGAAAGCGUGGGGAGCGAACAGG